CCAGUCUGGUGCCAGCAGCUGCGGUAAUUCCAGCUCUGCGAGUUUGCUCCCAUAUUGUUGCAGUUAAAACGCCCGUAGUCUGAAUUGGCCAGCAAUGGUCGUACGUAUUUUUACGUUCACUGUGAACAAAUCAGGACGCUUAGAGUAUGGCCACAUGAAUGACUCAGCGCAGUAUGAAGUCUUUGUUUUCUUCCGAAAACAAGCUCAAUGAGAGCCAUCGGGGGUAGAUCUAUCUCAUGACGAGUGGUGGAAUACUUUGACUCAUGAGAGAGAAGCUGAGGCGAAGGCGUCUACCUAGAGGGUUUCUGUCGAUCAAGGGCGAGAGUAGGAGUAUCCAACAGGAUUAGAGACCCUGGUAGUUCCUACCUUAAACGAUGCCGACAGGAGUUUGUCAUUUGUUAAUGGCAGAAUCUUUGGAGAAAUCAUAGUUCUUGGGCUCUGGGGGAACUACGACCGCAAGGCUGAAACUUGAAGGAAUUGACGGAAGGGCACACCAGGGGUGGAGCCUGUGGCUUAAUUUGAAUCAACACGGGGAAACUUACCAGGACCAGAUGUUUUUUAUGACUGACAGGCUUCGGGUCUUUCAGGAUAUUGUUUUUGGUGGUGCAUGGCCGUUGGUGGUGCGUGGGUUGACCUGUCUAGCGUUGAUUCAGCUAACGAGCGAGAUUAUCGCCAAUUAUUUACUUUGCCGAAGUCCUUCGGUUAAAGUUCUAAUUGGGACUCCCUGCGAUUUUAGCAGGUGGAAGAGGGUAGCAAUAACAGGUCCGUGAUGCCCUUUAGAUGCUCUGGGCUGCACGCGUGCUACAAUGUUAGGAUCAAUAGGACUGCGAGCCUGAGAGGGUGCGCUACUCUUAUAAUCUCUAACGUAGUUGGGAUUGACGUUUGUAAUCAGCGUCAUGAACCAGGAAU
Molecule: non-coding RNA, 909 nt
Filed under: Trichomonas vaginalis G3
Lineage: Eukaryota; Parabasalia; Trichomonadida; Trichomonadidae
Description: Eukaryotic small subunit ribosomal RNA
Rfam family: Eukaryotic small subunit ribosomal RNA
Source: Rfam by way of RNAcentral